UACGUAGGGAGCAAGCGUUGUCCGGAAUCAUUGGGCGUAAAGCGCGCGUAGGUGGCUUCGUAAGUCCGUUGUGAAAGUCAAAGGCUCAACCUUUGAAUGCCGAUGGAUACUGCGGAGCUAGAGUACGGAAGAGGCGAGUGGAAUUCCUGGUGUAGCGGUGAAAUGCGCAGAUAUCAGGAGGAACACCAAUUGCGAAGGCAGCUCGCUGGGACGUUAUUGACGCUGAGACGCGAAAGCGUGGGGAGCAAACAGG
Molecule: ribosomal RNA, 253 nt
Filed under: uncultured bacterium
Lineage: Bacteria
Description: partial 16S ribosomal RNA
Rfam family: Bacterial small subunit ribosomal RNA
Source: RNAcentral